Molecule: long non-coding RNA, 1374 nt
Filed under: Gallus gallus (chicken)
Lineage: Eukaryota; Metazoa; Chordata; Aves; Galliformes; Phasianidae
Source: RNAcentral
GCUGUGACAGCCACAGGGCCAGCACCACACUUAAGUUUCUCACACUCAGUGGACAGGGAUCCAUUUUCUCUCAUUAGGUCCUCAAAUGCUAUGGCAAGCCCUGUCUGGACAUAGCUAGCAGGCAGCUUGGGAAUAGCUGUAGCAGACACACUCCAAGGCAUUGCAUGAGAAGAGCAAGAAGUUUCAAGAGGAAGAGACAAUUCACUGAGCUUCCCUUCCCCUCCCCCCCCCCCCCCCCAGCUGCAAUUAGUUUUUCUUGGUGCACUAAGGAUGCAGUACUUCUAGUAUCCCUACCUGCCACAUAACUAAGACACUGACUGUAUCACUGGGUCUCUGACAGUGUCAAGACCACAGUUUGUGAAGCAGCAGAGACACUUCACGUCUUGCCCUUCACUCCUGUCUCUUCCCCAGUGCGUGCAGUUCACUGAAUUUGCCUGCUCUUCAGUGCCAGCCUGCAACAUGUCAAACCAUUUUCUUAGAGAGCAGAGCUUUUUGCAAAAGCACAAGCCAUGCCCUGUACCUCUCCAGCAAGGAGGAUGGAGUAGCACUGCCUGGACAGGGGAUGGCACAAGGCAUGCCUAACACACACUUGUUAGAGCUUCUUUGUCACAGCAGCCUGGGACUAGCCCCAGAGUCUGGGAAGCAAACAGCCAGAGACCACUCACUGCAGCAAACAGGGUUCAAGGAGCACCUACUGCUACAGGAGCUCAGGUCACAGUAGGUUAUAAUUUGCCAGUGGUGUGGUCCAGCUCAAUGGCAGCUGCAAGGCAGUAGUGUAGAUGAGCAUAUAGGUGAACACAUACCCUUUCCCACUGCCUACCCCCAGAGCACGCACACACGAGCAAGCAGAUUAGAGCAGGAAACAGCAGAGAAAGCAGCCAUGGCAAGUUUGGGUUUAUUUCACAAUGCAAGGGAAAAGAAAACAAAACCAAGCUAUAGCAGUUAGCUGAACUUAAUAGCUUUCACUUUAAAGUCACCCUCCACAGCCAGGUAUUGAAUUUUCUCCAUGCCCAGCCGAUUGGGAAACUCAAACUCCACUUCAGGCACCUUCACCUUGACCUCUGCUGCAUCAAAGGAGAUACAGAUCUCAACCUUGUCGCCCUGCUGGAAAGGGAAGUCAGCCUUCCUGUCCUCCUCACCCCACGUGCCAUCCUCCUUUGAGUUGCACACAACAGUGUUGACAUCCCCAUGGCAGUCAAAGCGAGGGUUGAAAUGAAGCAUGAGUGUGCUGCUGUCCUUCCCUACAUUCACAGAAAACCCUUUGGCAUCGGAUAGGAUCUUCCCUUUGACCUUGACACACUCUCCAGGCUGUACAUCCAGCUGGGUAACAACCAGUCCUUGCUCCAUGAUGCAGACGCCCCAAGCCCCUGCUCC